Molecule: ribosomal RNA, 380 nt
Filed under: uncultured eukaryote
Lineage: Eukaryota
Description: partial 18S ribosomal RNA
Rfam family: Eukaryotic small subunit ribosomal RNA
Source: RNAcentral
CAAUAGCGUAUAUUAAAGUUGUUGCAGUUAAAAAGCUCGUAGUUGGAUCUGUGGUGUGCGGUGGGCUCCGGGCACUUGUUGUCUGAGUAGCUCGCCGCUGCCAUCCUUGGGUGGGAUCUGUGUGGCAUUAGGUUGUCGUGCAGGGGAUGCCCAUCGUUUACUGUGAAAAAAUUAGAGUGUUCAAAGCAGGCUUAUGCCGUUGAAUAUAUUAGCAUGGAAUAAUGAGAUAGGACUUUUUCGCUAUUUUGUUGGUUUGCGCGAAGAGGUAAUGAUUAAUAGGGACAGUUGGGGGUAUUCGUAUUCCAUUGUCAGAGGUGAAAUUCUUGGAUUUUUGGAAGACGAACUACUGCGAAAGCAUUUACCAAGGAUGUUUUCAUUAA